UUGCAGACAAUUAAGCCGACCACGCUCUUUUCCCCAUGGGGGCCCGGUAUGCAAUGGCUGCAAACAGCAGCCUUCUCGGUAGUAUAUGCAGCUUGUUGCCUGUGUGGGUUGCCCUAAGGGGCCUUGGAGACAGCC
Small nucleolar RNA from Balaenoptera musculus (blue whale), 135 nucleotides. Its record names the gene SNORA70. It matches the Rfam family "Small nucleolar RNA SNORA70". Rfam says of the family: snoRNA U70 seems to be exclusive to mammals and is a member of the H/ACA class of snoRNA which contain H (ANANNA) and ACA box motifs. H/ACA box snoRNAs are involved in the conversion of uridines to pseudouridines (5-ribosyluracil) a constituent of structural RNAs (transfer, ribosomal, small nuclear, and small nucleolar). The record is from Ensembl. NCBI's taxonomy places the organism in Eukaryota, Metazoa, Chordata, Mammalia, Artiodactyla, Balaenopteridae.